Molecule: transfer RNA, 80 nt
Filed under: Azospirillum lipoferum
Lineage: Bacteria; Pseudomonadati; Pseudomonadota; Alphaproteobacteria; Rhodospirillales; Azospirillaceae
Also listed under: 1 other name
Description: tRNA-Ser
Source: RNAcentral
GCGAUUGCUAAAGCCCUGCAGCCCAUUUCCCCAGACUACGAAUCUGAGGGUCAGGAGUUCGAAUCUCUUCGGGCGCGCCA